CCUACGGGAGGCUGCAGUGAGGAAUAUUGGUCAAUGGGCGCUAGCCUGAACCAGCCAAGUAGCGUGAAGGAUGACUGCCCUAUGGGUUGUAAACUUCUUUUAUAUGGGAAUAAAGUGCAGUAUGUAUACUGCUUUGCAUGUACCUUAUGAAUAAGGAUCGGCUAACUCCGUGCCAGCAGCCGCGGUAAUACGGAGGAUUCGAGCGUUAUCCGGAUUUAUUGGGUUUAAAGGGAGCGUAGGCGGGUUGUUAAGUCAGUUGUGAAAGUUUGCGGCUCAACCGUAAAAUUGCAGUUGAUACUGGCAGCCUUGAGUACAUUAGAGGUAGGCGGAAUGCGUGGUGUAGCGGUGAAAUGCUUAGAUAUCACGAAGAACUCCGAUUGCGAAGGCAGCCUGCUGGACUAUAACUGACGCUGAUGCUCGAAAGUGUGGGUAUCAAACAGGAUUAGAUACCCUAGUAGUC
RNAcentral lists this ribosomal RNA (460 nucleotides) under uncultured bacterium. Its description in RNAcentral is "partial 16S ribosomal RNA". It matches the Rfam family "Bacterial small subunit ribosomal RNA", at positions 338 to 795 of the family's 1533-position model. The record is from RNAcentral.